GUCCAGACUCCUACGGAGGCAGCAGUGGGGAUAUGCACAUGGCGAAGCUGAUGCAGCGACGCGCGUGGGGGAUGAGUCUUCGGGUGUAACCCCUUUCAGCAGGGAGAGCGAAAGUGACGUACUGCAGAGAGCGCGGCUAACUACGUGCCAGCAGCCGCGGUAAUACGUAGGGCGCAGCGUUGUCAGGAAUUAUUGGGCGUAAAGAGCUCGUAGGCGGCUUGUCGCGUCUGCUGUGAAAGCACGAGGCUCAACCUCGUGUCUGCAGUGGGUACGGGCAGGCUAGAGUGUGGUAGGGGAGACUGGAAUUCUGGUGUAGCGGUGGAAUGCGCAGAUAUCAGGAGGAACACCGAUGGCGAAGGCAGGUCUCUGGGCCACAACUGACGCUGAGGAGCGAAAGCAUGGGGAGCGAACAGGAUUAGAUACCCUGGUAGUCCAUGCCGUAAACGGUGGGCACUAGAUGUGGGGACUAUUCCAUGGUUUCCGCGUCGCAGCUAACGCAUUAAGUGCCCCGCCUGGGGAGUACGGCCGCAAGGCUAAAACUCAAAGGAAUUGACGGGGGCCCGCACAAGCGGCGGAGCAUGCGGAUUAAUUCGAUGCAACGCGAAGAACCUUACCAAGGCUUGACAUAUACGGUCUAUCCCUAGAGAUAGGGAGUGAUUUUUUCGCCGUAUACAGGUGGUGCAUGGUUGUCGUCAGCUCGUGUCGUGAGAUGUUGGGUUAAGUCCCGCAACGAGCGCAACCCUCGUCCUAUGUUGCCAGCACGUAAUGGUGGGGACUCAUAGGAGACUGCCGGGGUCAACUCGGAGGAAGGUGGGGAUGACGUCAAAUCAUCAUGCCCCUUAUGUCUUGGGCUUCACGCAUGCUACAAUGGCCGGUACAAAGGGCUGCGAUACCGUAAGGUGGAGCGAAUCCCAAAAAGCCGGUCUCAGUUCGGAUUGAGGUCUGCAACUCGACCUCAUGAAGUUGGAGUCGCUAGUAAUCGCAGAUCAGCAACGCUGCGGUGAAUACGUUCUCUGGCCUUGUACACACCGCCAAUCAAGUCAAAAAACUCUUUUAUAUUUUCUUCUCGCCGCUCAAGACGUCGC
This 1085-nucleotide ribosomal RNA is filed under the name Demequina flava. Its description in RNAcentral is "bacterial SSU rRNA". It matches the Rfam family "Bacterial small subunit ribosomal RNA", at positions 329 to 1446 of the family's 1533-position model. Lineage: Bacteria; Bacillati; Actinomycetota; Actinomycetes; Micrococcales; Demequinaceae. The record is from RNAcentral.